CACAAUACCGCCCUUCCUUGUCUGUGAGAGUCGUCGGAAGCGGCGCGGGGCGCGCGUCCCGCCCCCUAGGAACUUUGAAGAUUGCCUCGCGGUGGGGAGAAGGACGCCGAAUAAACUGAUUGUUCUAAAAAUAUCAUCAGGGCCGAAGGAGGGAAAGAAGGAUUGAAGUAUCGGCGACUAACGGAAUUGAGAAAUAGCAGCACCGGUGUAGAGGGUUUCGUGGUUUUCGGCGGAUGAUGGAUG
Caenorhabditis elegans is the source of this 243-nucleotide non-coding RNA. NCBI's taxonomy places the organism in Eukaryota, Metazoa, Nematoda, Chromadorea, Rhabditida, Rhabditidae. The record is from Ensembl.